This 465-nucleotide ribosomal RNA is filed under the name Vreelandella stevensii. RNAcentral describes it as "partial 16S ribosomal RNA". It matches the Rfam family "Bacterial small subunit ribosomal RNA", at positions 338 to 795 of the family's 1533-position model. Lineage: Bacteria; Pseudomonadati; Pseudomonadota; Gammaproteobacteria; Oceanospirillales; Halomonadaceae. The record is from RNAcentral.
CCUACGGGGGGCAGCAGUGGGGAAUAUUGGACAAUGGGGGCAACCCUGAUCCAGCCAUGCCGCGUGUGUGAAGAAGGCCCUCGGGUUGUAAAGCACUUUCAGUGAGGAAGAACGCCUGGUGGUUAAUACCCAUCAGGAAAGACAUCACUCACAGAAGAAGCACCGGCUAACUCCGUGCCAGCAGCCGCGGUAAUACGGAGGGUGCGAGCGUUAAUCGGAAUUACUGGGCGUAAAGCGCGCGUAGGUGGCUUGAUAAGCCGGUUGUGAAAGCCCCGGGCUCAACCUGGGAACGGCAUCCGGAACUGUCAAGCUAGAGUGCAGGAGAGGAAGGUAGAAUUCCCGGUGUAGCGGUGAAAUGCGUAGAGAUGGGGAGGAAUACCAGUGGCGAAGGCGGCCUUCUGGACUGACACUGACACUGAGGUGCGAAAGCGUGGGUAGCAAACAGGAUUAGAUACCCUUGUAGUC